CGGCUAAUAGCGCCAGAUAACUGCUGCAGGGGAAGCAGGAAGGAGUCCCUGCUUCCCCACCAAACAGUCUCCAGGAGCUGUACUGCCUCCACAAUGAACUCCACAGGUAACUGUGUGAUUGUCAAUGUGAGUGUGACUGUCUGCCUGUGUGUGUGACUGUCUGCCUGAGUGUGUGUGUGUGUGUGUAUGACUGUCUGCCUGUGUAUGUGUGUGUCUGUGUGUAUGACUGUGUGUGUGUGUAUAUCUGCCUGUGUGUGUGUGUAUGACUGCCUGUGUGUAUGUCUGCCUGUGUGUGUGUAUGACUGCCUGUGUGUGUGUCUCUGACUGUGUGUGUGUAUGACUGUCUGCGUGUGUGUGUGUGUAUGACUGCCUGUGUGUGUCUGUGUGUAUGACUAUCUGCCUGUGUGUGUGUGUGUGUGUAUGACUGUCUGUGUGUAUGACUGUCUGCUUGUGUGUGUGACUCAUCCUGUGUGUAUGACUGCCUGUGUGUGUGACUGUCUGCCUGUGUCUGUGUGUGCAUGACUGCCCGUGUGUGUGUGUCUGUGUGUAUGACUGUCUGCCUGUGUGUGUGUAUGACUGUCUGCCUGUGUGUCUGUGUGUGUGUAUGACUGUCUGCUUGUGUGUGUCUGUCUGCCUGUGUGUGUAUAACUGUCUGCCUGUGUGUGUGUGGCUGUCUGUGUGUGUGUGGCUGUCUGCAUGUAAGUAUGUGUGUGUGUAAGACUGUAUGUGUGGCUGUGUGUGUGUGUGUGUGUCGGCCUGUAAUUCUGUGUGAGUGUGUUUAUCUACCUGUAACUGUGUAUGUGUGUUACUGCCUGUAACGGCACCCCCAGGCAUAAAACGGUUAAACCGCCAUUUAGAAGAUCUUCCCCUUCCAGAGACACAGGCAGCUACUGUAGACACCAUUCCACCGAACCGGAGAAGCAUAUGAAUGCUCUCAAACAUACAAAUGCUGUAAACAGCCGAAUAGGAAAAACCAUACGAAUAGGUUUACACUCCUAGCAGUCGAACUGGAACAGCAUACAAUAAAUCCCCCCAAGAACGAGACAGGGCUCCGUUUUGGGGGUCAAGCAGGAACAGACAGAGCUGUGGGUUUAUUAUUCUUAUAUACACAUUCUUACACAUUAGUACCACCCACAGGGUUUUGUAAAACAACCAAUAAACACGUACAAUACACUCAGACACUCCCACACAAAAGCCUCCCCUCUACCUGUGAUACAAAUUACCUUACACAAUGGGUAAUGAAAUUAUCACAGUCAAAGAAAUACAGUUUUUCCACAUUAUUCAUAACUUUAAAAGUAUGCAUCACAUUGACAUACAUUUUCAGAAUCAGCAUACUUCAAAUACAAACAUAUGUCAAAAAUUGGUCCAGUGGGUCAAAAGUUAGAUCAAAGUCCUUUGUGACCAAAUGAAGCAUGGCUUUUCUGCCCAAAACCAGUUCCACAGAGAUAAUCCAAUUAUCUCCAAGGACAGAGGCAAAACUCUGUUAGCCACAUGGUAGCAAAAGACAAUAAAAUACAUAAAAAUAUAUAACUGUGCAGCUUUUGCAUAAAACAGGUACAUUCAACAUAUCCCCAGAUAGCUUAGAUCUGAGUGCACAUUAUUACUGAAUGGCGCUCAGAUCACAUACAUACAUUUCAAUUGCCAUGGAGUCAAAGUAUUUCGUUAUACGAAUGGGUUCCAAUGCAUAGCUAUCUGGGGUAUCACUGUUCAAAUAGGGCAAGUACCGAAUGACCCGGCUUUCGUGUCUUUGCAGGGGAAAAUCAAGCGUUUCAACAUGGGGCCAUAGUCUAAAGGCAGCAGGUGGGCAACCAGGCUCCUCCAAUGCACAGUGGCGAGAUUGGUCUCGUCACACUGCCUGUACCUGUGUGUUUCUGCCUGGUCCUGUGUAUGUGACUAUCUGCCUGCGACUGUGUGCAUGUGGUGGAUUUGACAGUGUAUAUGUAUAACUGUGGGCAUCUGACUGUGUGCACAUAACUCUGCAAAAAUAUACACCUGCAUUCACACACAGGCCUAAAUGCAUGUUUUUAUCUGAAUUAAAUAACCAUCACACACAGCCAAUAAACCCAGCACAAAUAUCACAUACAACCAAUACACGCAUAUCACACACUGUUAAUACACCCAUUACAAAUAUCACACACAGCCAACACAUGGCAUACAUAUCACACACACUCAUCACACCUACUAUCACAUACACAGACAACACAAAUAUUACAUCAAACAUGGAUGAAGGGGGGAGGGGAGGGCUGUGGAGAUUUUUCACACAGGGCGCCUAAAGGCCUAAGGCCGGCCCUGUGUGUGUCUGUGACAGUGUGUGUAUGUGUGUGUUAGAUACAUACACACAGAUACACAUUGACACACAGAUACACUCUGAUACAUACAAACACAGUUACACACACCUUAACACACAGACACAGACCGGCACAUACAAAAAAAAAACGGAGCAAUUUCGUUUUCUUUCAUUGUGGGUUUCCACAAUGUUGAUACACUAUGUCAAAGGGUUCCACUGGAAAAAUUAAUUGGGAACCCCUGGUCUAGAGAUUCAAAACUCUCUGGUCACAGGCUAAUUUACACAAAUCAGACCAUUAUAAACCUCCCCCCUCUUCCUCUCUGCAGCUUAUUCCUCCCACCUCUCCAUUUUCCCUUUUUUCCAUUUAUGUACAUAUUUGUAAAUACCCCUUGACACACAGAUACACACACACACUCAGUCAUAUACACACUGACACACAUAGGCACAUGAAAACACACUGAUAUACACUGGCACAUACACAGAUAAACUAUAGAAACAAGCAGGAUGGUCAAAAAAUAAUAAAAUGGAAAUAUUAUUAUAUAUACGGGCAGCUUCACACAGUGUAUGAGCGACUAAUAUGAAUAGACAAUAAAAGCAUAAAUAUGGUGUGAGCGCUCCUAACAAUAAG
Pelobates cultripes (western spadefoot toad) is the source of this 2915-nucleotide non-coding RNA. The record is from the annotation of a GenBank genome assembly. NCBI's taxonomy places the organism in Eukaryota, Metazoa, Chordata, Amphibia, Anura, Pelobatidae.